AGUGAACGCUGGCGGUAGGCCUAACACAUGCAAGUCGAACGGCAGCACAGUAAGAGCUUGCUCUUACGGGUGGCGAGUGGCGGACGGGUGAGGAAUACAUCCGAAUCUACUUUUUCGUGGGGGAUAACGUAGGGAAACUUACGCUAAUACCGCAUACGACCUACGGGUGAAAGCAGGGGAUCUUCGGACCUUGCGCGAUUGAAUGAGCCGAUGUCGGAUUAGCUAGUUGGCGGGGUAAAGGCCCACCAAGGCGACGAUCCGUAGCUGGUCUGAGAGGAUGAUCAGCCACACUGGAACUGAGACACGGUCCAGACUCCUACGGGAGGCAGCAGUGGGGAAUAUUGGACAAUGGGCGCAAGCCUGAUCCAGCUAUACCGCGUGGGUGAAGAAGGCCUUCGGGUUGUAAAGCCCUUUUGUUGGGAAAGAAAAGCAGCAGGUUAAUACCCCGCUGUUCUGACGGUACCCAAAGAAUAAGCACCGGCUAACUUCGUG
RNAcentral lists this ribosomal RNA (492 nucleotides) under uncultured bacterium. RNAcentral describes it as "partial 16S ribosomal RNA". It matches the Rfam family "Bacterial small subunit ribosomal RNA", at positions 29 to 507 of the family's 1533-position model. The record is from RNAcentral.